Molecule: transfer RNA, 73 nt
Filed under: Felis catus (domestic cat)
Lineage: Eukaryota; Metazoa; Chordata; Mammalia; Carnivora; Felidae
Rfam family: tRNA
About the family: Transfer RNA (tRNA) molecules are approximately 80 nucleotides in length. Their secondary structure includes four short double-helical elements and three loops (D, anti-codon, and T loops).
Source: Rfam by way of RNAcentral
ACCUGGCUGGCUCAGUCAGUAGAGCAGGCGACUGUUGAUCUCAGGAUUGUGAGUUCGACUCCCACAUUGGGUG